This 194-nucleotide ribosomal RNA is filed under the name uncultured eukaryote. Its description in RNAcentral is "partial 18S ribosomal RNA". It matches the Rfam family "Eukaryotic small subunit ribosomal RNA", at positions 1 to 195 of the family's 1831-position model. The record is from RNAcentral.
GCAACCUGGUUGAUCCUGCCAGUAGUCAUAUGCUUGUCUCAAAGAUUAAGCCAUGCACGUCUAAGUAUAAAUGGUAUACAAUGAAACUGCGAAUGGCUCAUUAAAACAGUUAUAGUUUAUUUGGUAAUCAAACUUACAUGGAUAACCGUGGUAAUUCUAGAGCUAAUACAUGCUGUUGUGCCCGACUCGCGAAG